Non-coding RNA from Acanthosepion pharaonis, 111 nucleotides. The record is from the annotation of a GenBank genome assembly. NCBI's taxonomy places the organism in Eukaryota, Metazoa, Mollusca, Cephalopoda, Sepiida, Sepiidae.
UAUGGCCACAUCAUAUUGAAUUGCUGGUUCCCUUAAGAUUACUGAAGUUAAGCAACAUCAAGCCUGGUCAGUACCCAGAUGGGUGAUCACUUGGGAAUACUAGGUGCUAUA